CAGUCGCCGCGGGAAUACGGAGGGUGCAAGCGUUAAUCGGAAUUACUGGGCGUAAAGCGCACGCAGGCGGUCUGUCAAGUCAGAUGUGAAAUCCCCGGGCUUAACCUGGGAACUGCAUUUGAAACUGGCAGGCUAGAGUCUUGUAGAGGGGGGUAGAAUUCCAGGUGUAGCGGUGAAAUGCGUAGAGAUCGGGAGGAACAUCAGUGGCGAAGGCGGCCAUCUGGGACAACACUUACGCUGAGGCACGAAAGCGUGGGGAGCAAACAGGAUUAGAUACCCCGGUAGUCCCUGUCUCUUAUAC
This 301-nucleotide ribosomal RNA is filed under the name uncultured bacterium. RNAcentral describes it as "partial 16S ribosomal RNA". It matches the Rfam family "Bacterial small subunit ribosomal RNA", at positions 509 to 807 of the family's 1533-position model. The record is from RNAcentral.